AUUGAACGCUGGCGGCAUGCUUUACACAUGCAAGUCGAACGGUAACAGGCCGCAAGGUGCUGACGAGUGGCGAACGGGUGAGUAAUGCAUCGGAACGUGCCCAGUCGUGGGGGAUAACUACUCGAAAGAGUAGCUAAUACCGCAUACGAUCUAUGGAUGAAAGCGGGGGACCGUAAGGCCUCGCGCGAUUGGAGCGGCCGAUGCCAGAUUAGGUAGUUGGUGGGGUAAAGGCUCACCAAGCCAACGAUCUGUAGCUGGUCUGAGAGGACGACCAGCCACACUGGGACUGAGACACGGCCCAGGCUCCUACGGGAGGCAGCAGUGGGGAAUUUUGGACAAUGGGCGCAAGCCUGAUCCAGCAAUGCCGCGUGCAGGAAGAAGGCCUUCGGGUUGUAAACUGCUUUUGUACGGAACGAAACGGCUCUGGUUAAUACCCGGGGCUAAUGACGGUACCGUAAGAAUAAGCACCGGCUAACUACGUG
RNAcentral lists this ribosomal RNA (482 nucleotides) under uncultured bacterium. RNAcentral describes it as "partial 16S ribosomal RNA". It matches the Rfam family "Bacterial small subunit ribosomal RNA", at positions 30 to 507 of the family's 1533-position model. The record is from RNAcentral.